Molecule: ribosomal RNA, 1111 nt
Filed under: metagenome
Description: bacterial SSU rRNA
Rfam family: Bacterial small subunit ribosomal RNA
Source: RNAcentral
GGACCAGACUCCUACGGGAGGCAGCAGUGAGGAAUAUUGGGCAAUGGAGGCAACUCUGACCCAGCCAUGCCGCGUGCAGGAAGACUGCCCUAUGGGUUGUAAACUGCUUUUAUACAGGAAGAAACACUAGUACGUGUACUAGCUUGACGGUACUGUAAGAAUAAGGACCGGCUAACUCCGUGCCAGCAGCCGCGGUAAUACGGAGGGUCCGAGCGUUAUCCGGAAUCAUUGGGUUUAAAGGGUCCGCAGGCGGUCAAUUAAGUCAGAGGUGAAAUCCCAUAGCUCAACUAUGGAACUGCCUUUGAUACUGGUUGACUUGAGUCAUAUGGAAGUAGAUAGAAUGUGUAGUGUAGCGGUGAAAUGCAUAGAUAUUACACAGAAUACCGAUUGCGAAGGCAGUCUACUACGUAUGUACUGACGCUGAGGGACGAAAGCGUGGGGAGCGAACAGGAUUAGAUACCCUGGUAGUCCACGCCGUAAACGAUGGAUACUAGUUGUUGGGCAUUUGUUCAGUGACUAAGCGAAAGUGAUAAGUAUCCCACCUGGGGAGUACGGUCGCAAGACUGAAACUCAAAGGAAUUGACGGGGGCCCGCACAAGCGGUGGAGCAUGUGGUUUAAUUCGAUGAUACGCGAGGAACCUUACCAGGGCUUAAAUGUAGUAUGACAGGUUUAGAGAUAGACUUUUCUUCGGACAUAUUACAAGGUGCUGCAUGGUUGUCGUCAGCUCGUGCCGUGAGGUGUCAGGUUAAGUCCUAUAACGAGCGCAACCCCUGUCGUUAGUUGCCAGCAUGUUAUGAUGGGGACUCUAACGAGACUGCCUACGCAAGUAGAGAGGAAGGUGGGGAUGACGUCAAAUCAUCACGGCCCUUACGUCCUGGGCCACACACGUGCUACAAUGGUAUGGACAAUGAGCAGCCAUCUGGCAACAGAGAGCGAAUCUAUAAACCAUAUCACAGUUCGGAUCGGAGUCUGCAACUCGACUUCGUGAAGCUGGAAUCGCUAGUAAUCGGAUAUCAGCCAUGAUCCGGUGAAUACGUUCCCGGGCCUUGUACACACCGCCCGUCAAGCCAUGGAAGCUGGGAGUGCCUGAAGUCGGUCACCGCAAGGAGC